Cucurbita maxima (winter squash) is the source of this 1780-nucleotide RNA transcript. It is a transcript of the gene named trihelix transcription factor ASR3, with no coding region annotated. The transcript is spliced from 4 exons. Lineage: Eukaryota; Viridiplantae; Streptophyta; Magnoliopsida; Cucurbitales; Cucurbitaceae. The record is from RefSeq and is a predicted model, not a curated record.
CUUCGAUUCUUCAUAUAUUUGUCGGCGAAUCAACACCGAUUCGAUUUCAUAUCACAUUUUACGGUUUCUAUUACGGAAUGGCGUUUGAUUUUCCGUUGUCAGAUGUUGCAUUUUAGGUAAAGCAAUUUGGAUUGAAAUAGAGAGCUGAAGAAUUUCUAAACUGAAAAACGAAGAAAAUUUUAGUACGAAAUGAAGGAGGAGGACGGCAAACGUGGAACGGAGGUUUCAGGUUCUCGUCGGACGCGGUCUCGUAUAGCACCGGAUUGGACAGCGGCGAAUUGCCUCGUUCUUGUUAAUGUGAUUGCAGCUGUGGAGGCGGAUUGUUGGAAAGCUUUGUCUAGCUUUCAGAAAUGGAAAAUUGUUGCAGAGAACUGCACGUCUUUGGAUGUGGCUCGGAACUCGAAUCAGUGCAGGAGGAAGUGGGACUGUUUGCUGAUUGAACAUGAUGUUAUCAAGCAAUGGGAGUUAGAGAUGCCGGAUGAUGAUUCGUAUUGGUGUUUGGAAAGUGGAAGGAGAAAGGAAUUGGGACUUCCUGAUAACUUUGACGAGGAGCUGUUCAAAGCAAUCGAUAAUGUUGUAUUGAUGAGGGCGAAUCAGUCGGAUACGGAGCCUGAUAGCGAUCCUGAGGCUGCGGUUGAGAAGGUAGAUGAAGCUGCAGAGCCUGGCCCUAAAAGGCAAAGACGUUGUUCAAUGUCCACAAGAAACCAAGCUCUUGAGAAAUCUGUAAAAUGUGAAGAAGAAGAAGAAGAAGAAGAAGAAGAAGAAGAAGAAGAACCUCUGGUGAGCUCUCCGGAAGUAGAGCGUCGUGGAUGCUACAUCAAAAGCCACGGAGAAAAGGCAACCGAUAACACCGAACCCGAAGAGCAAACGAUGACGAAGAAAUUGCUUGAAACUGCAGAAAAAGUUCAAGCAAUUGUGUCUGAGAAUGCAAAAUAUGCAAUGUCCGGCGAAAAAAACGACAACGACAACUACAACAACCGAACUAAUUCCAUUAGGCGUCAAGGGAGCAAGCUUAUCAAAUGUCUUGAAGAUUUUCUCAACACCAUUAACGAUCUCCAUAGCCUGCCCGAAGAUCAAGAGUAACUCUCAUUUUGCAUUUCGCUGUUCUUUAAGCCACCGAGUGAACUCAUCGGAGCUUUGAAUCUUCCCAUCUCUCUUCCUACAGACAAAAUUCCAAGCUGACCAUUCGAGCAACAACAGCAAAAGGUUGCCGAUAUUUUCCAGGCCACCUCUGGGACAUUGUUUCACAACAGGAAAGAAGUAAGCUACGUCUAGAUGAAUGUCCUCUUUCACGACGAAGUAAGACUAAGUUUAUAAGUUUAUAAGUUUAUUAUCCUAGGUCGAAACAAGUUGAUAGGAUAGGAUUCUCUUUUUUAUGUUUUCAUGUCCCUCUCGUGUGGCGACAUGGGGCGAGAAAAAAAGGAAAGAGGGACAAAAUUUCUCUUUUUUAGUAUAAUGGGCUUCGGGUGGAAUACUCUUAUUAGAUACAAAAUUUAAAUAACACAAAAUUAAAGAAUUAAAAAAAAAAAAAAAAAACAAAGGUUUUGCUAAACUCUCAUGUUUUCUCUUCCUCUAACAAGAAGAAGUGUCAAAAAUAGUCAAAGGUCGAAAUAGAUGGAGGCAACGGUUACAGUUUGAAAGAAUCAAAUAAAACGAAAAUAACUAUAAAUAAGAACCAGAAAAUGAGAGAAGGGAGAGAGAGAAAGUGAUAUGAAGGUUGUUUGAAUCCUUGUUCUAGAGAGAGAAAAAGAAAAAGAAAAAGAAAAAGAAAAAGAAAAAG